RNAcentral lists this non-coding RNA (29 nucleotides) under Homo sapiens (human). Lineage: Eukaryota; Metazoa; Chordata; Mammalia; Primates; Hominidae. The record is from RNAcentral.
UUGGCUGUCAUUUGGUGGACAUGAGCUGG